GAUGAACGCUGGCGGCGUGCUUAACACAUGCAAGUCGAACGAUGAAGCCCAGCUUGCUGGGUGGAUUAGUGGCGAACGGGUGAGUAACACGUGAGUAACCUGCCCUUAACUCUGGGAUAAGCCUGGGAAACUCGGUCUAAUACCGGAUAGGAGCGUCCACCGCAUGGUGGGUGUUGGAAAGAUUUAUCGGUUUUGGAUGGACUCGCGGCCUAUCAGCUUGUUGGUGAGGUAAUGGCUCACCAAGGCGACGACGGGUAGCCGGCCUGAGAGGGUGACCGGCCACACUGGGACUGAGACACGGCCCAGACUCCUACGGGAGGCAGCAGUGGGGAAUAUUGCACAAUGGGCGCAAGCCUGAUGCAGCGACGCCGCGUGAGGGAUGACGGCCUUCGGGUUGUAAACCUCUUUCAGUAGGGAAGAAGCGAAAGUGACGGUACCUGCAGAAGAAGCACCGGCUAACUACGUG
This 466-nucleotide ribosomal RNA is filed under the name uncultured bacterium. RNAcentral's name for it is "partial 16S ribosomal RNA". It matches the Rfam family "Bacterial small subunit ribosomal RNA", at positions 28 to 507 of the family's 1533-position model. The record is from RNAcentral.